This 429-nucleotide long non-coding RNA is filed under the name Dermacentor andersoni. RNAcentral's name for it is "uncharacterized LOC126521604". The record is from RNAcentral. Lineage: Eukaryota; Metazoa; Arthropoda; Arachnida; Ixodida; Ixodidae.
CUUCGCCUAGCCACAGCAGCUCCCUCAUACAGACUCCGCAAGCCAAGAGGCCGUGGAGGCAAAUGCAGCCAGCACACCUCGAACAGCCACCUUGACUGCGGGUGUGUCACCCUAGUCGCCAAGGAAACAUUUGAGGGAAAGCGACAGGCAAUGUGAACAGCCACUUCUCCAUGCAAACGAUACUCUUUCUCUCGGAUGACUCCUACGCCUCGCCACGCCAGCACUCUUGUGCACAAAAAUGCCGCGGAGGCACGUGCAGGUCAGAGGCAAGAAGCAGUGGCACUGGUGUCAACAUUCACCCAAUUUCUUUUUCUUACACUGAGGCAGCCAGCACACCUCGAACAGCCACCUUAACUGCGGGUGUGUUAGUAGAUUCCUGUUGUACAUAUGCUCAUAAUAAACUUCAGUAAACUUGAACUUGAUAAUAAA